RNAcentral lists this ribosomal RNA (468 nucleotides) under uncultured bacterium. Its description in RNAcentral is "partial 16S ribosomal RNA". It matches the Rfam family "Bacterial small subunit ribosomal RNA", at positions 28 to 507 of the family's 1533-position model. The record is from RNAcentral.
GACGAACGCUGGCGGCGUGCUUAACACAUGCAAGUCGAACGGAAAGGCCCUGCUUUUGUGGGGUGCUCGAGUGGCGAACGGGUGAGUAACACGUGAGUACCCUGCCCUUGCCUUUGGGAUAACUUCAGGCAACUGGGGCUAAUACCGGAUAGGAGCUCCUGCUGCCUGGUGGGGGUUGGAAAGUUUCGGCGGUUGGGGGUGGACUCGCGGCUUAUCAGCUUGUUGGUGGGGUAGUGGCUUACCAAGGCUUUGACGGGUAGCCGGCCUGAGAGGGUGACCGGCCACGUUGGGACUGGGAUACGGCCCAGACUCCUCCGCGAGGCAGCGGUGCGGAAUAUUGCACUAUGGGCGGAGGCCUGAUGCAGCCACGCCGCGUGCGGUAUGACGGCCUUCGGUUUGUAAUCCGCUUUCGCCUGUGACGAAACGUGAGUGACAGUAAUGGGUAAAGAAGCACCGGCUAACUACGUG